UAGGGAAUCUUCCGCAAUGGGCGAAAGCCUGACGGAGCAACGCCGCGUGAGUGAUGAAGGUCUUCGGAUCGUAAAACUCUGUUAUUAGGGAAGAACAAAUGUGUAAGUAACUAUGCACGUCUUGACGGUACCUAAUCAGAAAGCCACGGCUAACUACGUGCCAGCAGCCGCGGUAAUACGUAGGUGGCAAGCGUUAUCCGGAAUUAUUGGGCGUAAAGCGCGCGUAGGCGGUUUUUUAAGUCUGAUGUGAAAGCCCACGGCUCAACCGUGGAGGGUCAUUGGAAACUGGAAAACUUGAGUGCAGAAGAGGAGAGUGGAAUUCCAUGUGUAGCGGUGAAAUGCGCAGAGAUAUGGAGGAACACCAGUGGCGAAGGCGACUUUCUGGUCUGUAACUGACGCUGAUGUGCGAAAGCGUGGGGAGCAAACAGG
RNAcentral lists this ribosomal RNA (429 nucleotides) under Actinomycetes bacterium. RNAcentral's name for it is "Actinobacteria bacterium partial 16S ribosomal RNA". It matches the Rfam family "Bacterial small subunit ribosomal RNA", at positions 355 to 776 of the family's 1533-position model. Lineage: Bacteria; Bacillati; Actinomycetota; Actinomycetes. The record is from RNAcentral.